GUGGGGAAUAUUCCGCAAUGGACGAAAGUCUGACGGAGCAACGCCGCGUGAGUGAUGAAGGUUUUCGGACUGUAAAGCUCUGUUGUUUAGGACGAAAGUGCCUGUUGCGAACAGUUACAGGUAUUGACGGUACUAAACGAGGAAGCCACGGCUAACUACGUGCCAGCAGCCGCGGUAAUACGUAGGUGGCAAGCGUUGUCCGGAAUUAUUGGGCGUAAAGAGCAUGUAGGCGGAGGUUUAAGUCUGUUGUGAAAAUGCGGGGCUCAACCCCGUAUUGCGAUGGAAACUGAAUUUCUUGAGUGCAGGAGAGGAAAGGGGAAUUCCCAGUGUAGCGGUGAAAUGCGUAGAUAUUGGGAGGAACACCAGUGGCGAAGGCGCCUUUCUGGACUGUGUCUGACGCUGAGAUGCGAAAGCCAGGGUAGCGAACGGGAUUAGAAACCCCUGUAGUCC
This 450-nucleotide ribosomal RNA is filed under the name uncultured bacterium. Its description in RNAcentral is "partial 16S ribosomal RNA". It matches the Rfam family "Bacterial small subunit ribosomal RNA", at positions 354 to 796 of the family's 1533-position model. The record is from RNAcentral.